CUUGGCGGUAACAGCGGAGGGGAUCACCUGUUCCCAUACCGAACACAGUAGUUAAGCCCUCCAGCGGCGAUGGUAUUGCCACAUCUCGUGGUGAGAGAGUAGCUCACUGCCAAGA
Molecule: ribosomal RNA, 115 nt
Filed under: Bacillota bacterium
Lineage: Bacteria; Bacillati; Bacillota
Source: RNAcentral